AGUAGGAUAGGCGAAGCGUGCGAUUGGAUUGCACGUCUAAGCAGUAAGGCUGAGUAUUAGGCAAAUCCGGUACUCGUUAAGGCUGAGCUGUGAUGGGGAGAAGACAUUGUGUCUUCGAGUCGUUGAUUUCACACUGCCGAGAAAAGCCUCUAGAUAGAAAAUAGGUGCCCGUACCGCAAACCGACACAGGUAGUCAAGAUGAGAAUUCUAAGGUGAGCGAGCGAACUCUCGUUAAGGAACUCGGCAAAAUGACCCCGUAACUUCGGGAGAAGGGGUGCUCUUUAGGGUUAACGCCCAGAAGAGCCGCAGUGAAUAGGCCCAAGCGACUGUUUAUCAAAAACACAGGUCUCUGCUAAACCGUAAGGUGAUGUAUAGGGGCUGACGCCUGCCCGGUGCUGGAAGGUUAAGAGGAGUGGUUAGCUUCUGCGAAGCUACGAAUCGAAGCCCCAGUAAACGGCGGCCGUAACUAUAACGGUCCUAAGGUAGCGAAAUUCCUUGUCGGGUAAGUUCCGACCCGCACGAAAGGCGUAACGAUUUGGGCACUGUCUCAACGAGAGACUCGGUGAAAUCAUAGUACCUGUGAAGAUGCAGGUUACCCGCGACAGGACGGA
Molecule: ribosomal RNA, 611 nt
Filed under: Staphylococcus aureus
Lineage: Bacteria; Bacillati; Bacillota; Bacilli; Caryophanales; Staphylococcaceae
Description: partial 23S ribosomal RNA
Rfam family: Bacterial large subunit ribosomal RNA
Source: RNAcentral